CUGGGCAGGGGCCCUGGGAGGGGGGGCGAGCUUCCUCCUCCUGCCAAGGCUCUGCCAGAGCUGUGGGGCUGCCCCGGGGGCGGCGGGGGGUAGGGACACCUCCAGGCCCGGUGGGCAGGGGCAGCCAAGACCAUCGCUGGAGGGAAAGCUGAGUACCAGCUUGGGAAGAGCGGAAGCAGGUGAGCUUAAACCAAAGAGGAGGGACUGGUGGGUGAGACACCACCCGGGCCUGGACCCUCCCCUCUGGGGCCAAGCAGCUCCCCCGGGACCAUCCCCAGAGACGCCUCAGCAGCUCCCUUGUUGGCACAGGGACAGAGAUGACAGGCUGUGGUGCUGGGUUCUGGUCGGGACCUUGGCUCCCAGUGCAUUUGCGGGUCUCAUCGGUCACCCGUGGCCAUUUGUUACCUGGAGAGACUCUUCUGCUGGGCCCCUCCGUGUGUGGCCGUGAAUAAUGGAGAGCGGCAGUCGAGCGGCGAAGGCCUUGAUUCCUCUGUCUGAACAUGGAGACUUGCUAGAUGAGAUGGGCCUCUAAGGAAGGCAAGUGGAGGCUCCUGGGUUCUCCAGGGGCCAGAGGCAACACCCCAGCCCUUCUCCCGUCCUGCUCAUGGGCUCCUCCUCCAUCCACUCCUGGGCUCACUCCAGGCACCUGCCAUGCACCCUCCUCCCCACCAUUCUCCAAGCAUCUGGCUACAAGGCCAGCCCAAGAGAUGAGCCCCGGGGAAAAGGAGAACUGACCUCUGCCCCGAGGUGGGCAGCUGAGGGGCUGCCAUGGCCACAGACGGCUGCUCAGACCGCUGGCAGGUUCCAGGCUGAGUCACCCUGAGUCACCACUGUCACUUCCUACCACACAUUCCCUCAUUCAUACAGUGUCUCAUCCCUAAGGCCACUUCCCUGGAAUCUUCUCGGGCAGUUGCCAAGGGUGUGGGGGCACUCAGCCUGCCCCAGAUGGACGGGCCAAGAGCUCGGCCCUCGGAGCCCUGCAAGGAGAGAGGCCCGGACAGUGUGGCCUCCCUGGAAGGGGGCGGAUGCCCUCUGAGCCCCGCUCCGGCCGGGGAGCCCUCCGACCCUCACUGGCCAGGCACUCCCUGGAUGCGCAGGGCAGGUCCCUCCCGCUGUGAGGUUCUGCACCUGCAACCUUGAGACUCGGGUACCUGGAAACACACUGGAGUGCACCCGGCAGAGGAGGGGGAAAUGGCUCACCUGCCCUCCUCUCCCGUCUCCCGCAUGCGGCUCAUUCGUUCCUUCACCUCCCACAUGUUUCUCGUGUGCAUUCAGCCCGUCUGGCACUGGGCCAGCUCCGGAGAGACACCGACCCCACUCCUCGCCCGCUGUCUUUCCACCUUGCCCAAGGAGGAGGCGGCUGUGGCCAGAACGUCUCGCACGCAUCUCUCCCUCCACCAAACGCUGUGUCCCACUCAUGUGACUCUCGCCUUGCGUUUGAAAUCCCACUGGGUCUUCAAGUCUCUGCAUCAGCGAUUUCUCUUUAAAGGUCACAGGGAGCCACGGGAUGUUUUCACUCCGAACCAUUUUAUACGAGAGCCCCAACCACAGGCUGUGUUCGGUUCGAAUUCCCAAGGUCACCAAAGGAAGUGCAGCUGAUUACAGACAGUCCCCAACUCGACGUUGUGGAAGGGACACAUGUGCUUCGAAGCUUGAAUGUGGAUCUUCUCCUGGGUCUGCGAUCGUCUCUCGGGGUGCUGGGCAGCGGCCGGGGCCCCAGCUCCCGGUCAGCCAGCGGUCGCCAGGGUCAACAGCCGGUGCUCGGACCCCCGUCUCUACCCACACAGACACUCUGUUGGCCACUUUCAUUACAGGAUUCAACACGUCACAUGAGACACUCGAUGCUUUGUUGUAAAAUGGACUUUACUUUCGACGAUUUUGCCCGACCGUAGGCCGAUGUCAUCGUUCAGGGCCAGUAGGCUGAGCUGUGAUGUCCGGAAUCCCAAGAGGCACCCCAUUGUGGGACACAUUUGUGUUCCUCCCUCAGGAGGAACCUGCCCGCGUUACACCCGGAGGAUAUGGAGGGCCUGGAUUACGCGGGCGUAGAAGCAAGAACGGAGGCUUUGGAGUCAAGAAGCCUGUGCGAGUUUGGCCGGCGCCUGCUUUUCUGGACCACCUCUGCUUCACGGGAAGGGAGGCAGGUGGCACAGGGGUUGAGAACAUGGGCUCUGGGCUCCGGCUGCCCGUCUCCAGCUGUGUGUCCUUGGAAAAACUCUUUGAGCCUCCUUUUCUUCAUCUGUAAAAUGGACACACUCGCGAUCAUCGCUCCCUUGCAAGGGCGUUUGGCGAAUUAACACGUGGAGGCUGAUCUAAGACGAGCGAUAACGUGUGAAGCGUCUGGUGUGAGGGGAAGGCGCAAAGGGCACCAGCUGUUUUCUCACUGAAGCGGCUCAUUUGCGAGGGGAGCAGCCAGCACCAUGGGCGCAAGCUGCGCAUGAGGCCUGUUACGGUCAGAGCCACGAGGGGCCGGGGUCCCAUCUCACAGAUGGCAAAACCGAGACCGGAAGGCUCUGCGGCCGCCUUCUUAGUCACCCAGGCAGCCGGACUGUCUGCGUGUUCCCCUUUCCCGGCACCGGGCCUGGUGGCCUGUCGACGUGGAGCUUACUCAGAAGGAGCACAGGACCUUCCAAGUGGCAUUGGCUUGGCAGGAGGCCGGGCACAGGGCAACCGAUACGACCAAGGCCUUCUUGCCUCUGGUGUGGGGAUCAGGGCCCCUGGCGGACAUCUUGAGAGCAUUUGUGUUUGGGGGGGUGGAGGAACGGGGGACACCCCCCCAACUCGCUUAAGCCUCAAAAAGACCCCAGUCGAGGGUGCCUGGGUGGCUCAGUCAGUUGAGCAUCCGACUUCGGCCCAAGUCAUGAUCUCACAGUUUGUGAGUUCGAGCCCCACGUCGGGCUCUGUGCUGACAGCUCAGAGCCUGGAGCCUGCU
Prionailurus viverrinus (fishing cat) is the source of this 2929-nucleotide long non-coding RNA. RefSeq lists it as uncharacterized. NCBI's taxonomy places the organism in Eukaryota, Metazoa, Chordata, Mammalia, Carnivora, Felidae. The transcript has 3 exons. The record is from RefSeq and is a predicted model, not a curated record.